This 622-nucleotide ribosomal RNA is filed under the name uncultured bacterium. RNAcentral's name for it is "bacterial SSU rRNA". The stretch from base 1 to 531 matches the Rfam family "Bacterial small subunit ribosomal RNA", at positions 338 to 873 of the family's 1533-position model. The record is from RNAcentral.
CCUACGGGAGGCAGCAGUGGGGAAUAUUGGACAAUGGGCGGAAGCCUGAUCCAGCAACGCCGCGUGAGGGAUGACGGCCUUCGGGUUGUAAACCUCUUUCAGUACCGACGAAGCGCCCGUUGUGGGUGGUGACGGUAGGUACAGAAGAAGCACCGGCCAACUACGUGCCAGCAGCCGCGGUAAUACGUAGGGUGCGAGCGUUGUCCGGAAUUAUUGGGCGUAAAGGGCUCGUAGGCGGUUUGUCGCGUCGGGAGUGAAAACACCGGGCUUAACUCGGUGCCUGCUUUCGAUACGGGCAGACUAGAGGUAUGCAGGGGAGAACGGAAUUCCUGGUGUAGCGGUGAAAUGCGCAGAUAUCAGGAGGAACACCGGUGGCGAAGGCGGUUCUCUGGGCAUUACCUGACGCUGAGGAGCGAAAGUGUGGGGAGCGAACAGGAUUAGAUACCCUGGUAGUCCACACCGUAAACGUUGGGCGCUAGGUGUGGGGCCUAUUCCAUGGGUUCCGUGCCGCAGCUACGCAUAGCGCCCGCCGUCGGGAGGUACGGCCGCGACGGACGUAAACCUACAAUAGAAGUUAGACGGCGUGAGACGUCGCCGACGGACGACGACGACGGGAGGUAGG